This 1855-nucleotide long non-coding RNA is filed under the name Gallus gallus (chicken). Its description in RNAcentral is "lncRNA (ENSGALG00010009010.1)". Lineage: Eukaryota; Metazoa; Chordata; Aves; Galliformes; Phasianidae. The record is from RNAcentral.
AUCUCUUCUUGGAGAUUGCUCCUCAUGGAGUUUUUGUGAGCCUAUGAUGUUGUGAGGUUGUUGAGGCACCAGACCAAGCUGCCCCAGCGAAGCUGUGGAUGUCCGAUCCCUGGAGAUGUUCAAGGCCAGGUCGGAUGGGGCCCUGAGCAGCCUGAGAUGCUGGGUGGCAGUCUUGCCCAUGGCAGGGAUUUGGAUCUGGAUGAUUUUUGAGGCUCCUUCCAACCCAAGCCAUUCUAUGCUUCUAUGGUAUCCAGAACAUCAACUGAGUAGGCUCCUAAACAUAUUAAAAUAUGAAAGCAGUUUUUUUAUUUGUCAUUUUCAUCUGUACUGAUGAUAAUGUUCUUUCUAGGAGCUGUAGUUCUUUAGAAAGGUGAUCAUCUCACAAAGAACUUGGUCAUUUCAGAUAAUAAGCAAUAUUCAUAUCAAACCAGUAAUUUUCACUUGAAUGUUCCUCAUCAGCUACUUGAAAUGUUGGCUAGGAAUUUCCUUUUCUCUAAGGAAAAAACAAAAUCAGUUAAGAAACUUCUGAGAGAAUUUUGUACGAAAAGUCUGGGGUUGUUCCUUUUAGGAAGAUAGAAUUGGUAAGCUCUCAGUUCAGAGGAAAAUGGAAAAGAACUGAAGAAGUCCAGCAAGCAGAAAAUGUAUUGCUGGCAUGUUGUAGGGCUUGCUAGAUUAAAAUAAAAAUUUUGGGUUAUCUUCAGUAAUAGACAAAAAUGGAAUGUGGGAGUAUAUUGCUUAGUAGUAGUCUUGUUUCAGAAAGCAGCAAGUCAAAAUAGACAUUUUUUUCUUCUCUGAAAAAUCCUUUCUGGUAAGGAAGAUCGUAAGGAUUAUUCUGGGACUGCUGUGCUUUGUGUGUCUUUACGAUGAUUCCAUCAGACAAAUGUUUUUGUAAGCCAAGGGAACGGUAUCAAUGCCAGCCCAGGCAGUUUUAGUUUACUGCUGUAGUGACUGCUGACUGCAGGAGAGAUGACCUGAAUACAAUUUUGUCUUUAAACAACAGCCUAAAGCGACCUCUGUAGCAAUUUCAAGACUCUAAACUUUCUAUACUCAUCUCGGUAAUUUUGACUUGGAUUAAUACUGUGUAAUCAGAUAAAGGAAGAGUUAAAUGUGAUGUUCUGGAAUGCAGUGAAUGGUAAGGUGGAAUGCCUGCCUAUUAAGGACCCAAAAAUUCAUUGAAGACUAUCUUUCUUUUCAAACCAGCUUGGAAUAUUAGGUAGAAUAAGUAUUGGGGAAGACUGUACUAAAAUAAAAUAAAUUAGAAAUUUAAAUAUGAAUAGUUAUGUGAGUUAUUUGUAAGCAAAGGUAGGCUCGGGAUAUAAUUAGUGCAAAGGUUGGUUCAAACAAGUGUAAUUUUGUAUCAACAUGAUUAUUUACAGAAGUGCAUACUUGAGAAAUAUGAGCAGACUUGAAUAAGUUAAAACAUAUGCAGGUGAUGUCAUAAGAAUUGUCUUAAGAACUGUGUUUAACAUGCACUACCAGCCAAUAUAAUCUCUUGGUGAUAACCUUAACCAAAGGCUGCCCUUGGUUUGCAGUUGCAGUAUGUUUUUCCUGAACAGAACAGUGCUGCCAGGGAAACCAACGUCUUGGAAUAAAAAAAUGCACUAUAUCACCAAAGCAACAAAUACUCUGAAUAUUUUCAAAUUGAAUUAUUUUAAUGUAAAGACAUUGCUACACAUCCUAUCUUUAGCUUGAAAUUAGAUGAUUUAGAAGAAAGAAUGGAUUCAAAUAUACUAUUGUAGUUUAAAUAAACUAGGAGUUUCCAGCUCUCCUAUAUGUUUAAUAUUCUUCUUUGUUCUAAAAGCUUUUGUGUAAUAGGGGUCCACUGGUGACCUUGGAAAAUAAAGGUACUUCUUUU